GCGCUAGUGGUUUAGUGGUAAAAUCCCAGUUUCCCAUACUGGGGCCCCGGGUUCGAUUCCCGGCUGGCGCA
This is a non-coding RNA of Kluyveromyces marxianus, 71 nucleotides long. NCBI's taxonomy places the organism in Eukaryota, Fungi, Ascomycota, Saccharomycetes, Saccharomycetales, Saccharomycetaceae. The record is from Rfam.